CGGGCUGUAGCGCAGGGGCUAGCGCGCUUGGUUCGGGACCAAGAGGCCGCGGGUUCAAAUCCCGCCAGCCCGA
The sequence is a transfer RNA, 73 nucleotides long. It matches the Rfam family "tRNA". Rfam says of the family: Transfer RNA (tRNA) molecules are approximately 80 nucleotides in length. Their secondary structure includes four short double-helical elements and three loops (D, anti-codon, and T loops). Further hydrogen bonds mediate the characteristic L-shaped molecular structure. tRNAs have two regions of fundamental functional importance: the anti-codon, which is responsible for specific mRNA codon recognition, and the 3' end, to which the tRNAs corresponding amino acid is attached (by aminoacyl-tRNA synthetases). tRNAs cope with the degeneracy of the genetic code in two manners: having more than one tRNA (with a specific anti-codon) for a particular amino acid; and 'wobble' base-pairing, i.e. permitting non-standard base-pairing at the 3rd anti-codon position. The record is from Rfam.